RNAcentral lists this non-coding RNA (29 nucleotides) under Homo sapiens (human). Lineage: Eukaryota; Metazoa; Chordata; Mammalia; Primates; Hominidae. The record is from RNAcentral.
UGACUUCCCUAAUUGGUGGUGUGACUUUC